UACGGAGGAUCCGAGCGUUAUCCGGAUUUAUUGGGUUUAAAGGGUGCGUAGGCGGCUUUUUAAGUCAGCGGUGAAAUUUUGCAGCUUAACUGUAACAGUGCCGUUGAUACUGGGGAGCUAGGAUUUGGUUGCUGUGGGUGGAAUGUGUGGUGUAGCGGUGAAAUGCUUAGAGAUCACACAGAAUAUCGAUUGCGAAGGCAGCUCACAAAGCCAAGAUUGACGCUGAGGCACGAAAGUGUGGGGAUCAAACGGGAUUAGAUA
RNAcentral lists this ribosomal RNA (261 nucleotides) under uncultured prokaryote. RNAcentral's name for it is "partial 16S ribosomal RNA". It matches the Rfam family "Bacterial small subunit ribosomal RNA", at positions 524 to 784 of the family's 1533-position model. The record is from RNAcentral.